RNAcentral lists this ribosomal RNA (465 nucleotides) under Vreelandella stevensii. RNAcentral describes it as "partial 16S ribosomal RNA". It matches the Rfam family "Bacterial small subunit ribosomal RNA", at positions 338 to 795 of the family's 1533-position model. Lineage: Bacteria; Pseudomonadati; Pseudomonadota; Gammaproteobacteria; Oceanospirillales; Halomonadaceae. The record is from RNAcentral.
CCUACGGGCGGCAGCAGUGGGGAAUAUUGGACAAUGGGGGGAACCCUGAUCCAGCCAUGCCGCGUGUGUGAAGAAGGCCCUCGGGUUGUAAAGCACUUUCAGUGAGGAAGAACGCCUGGUGGUUAAUACCCAUCAGGAAAGACAUCACUCACAGAAGAAGCACCGGCUAACUCCGUGCCAGCAGCCGCGGUAAUACGGAGGGUGCGAGCGUUAAUCGGAAUUACUGGGCGUAAAGCGCGCGUAGGUGGCUUGAUAAGCCGGUUGUGAAAGCCCUGGGCUCAACCUGGGAACGGCAUCCGGAACUGUCAAGCUAGAGUGCAGGAGAGGAAGGUAGAAUUCCCGGUGUAGCGGUGAAAUGCGUAGAGAUCGGGAGGAAUACCAGUGGCGAAGGCGGCCUUCUGGACUGACACUGACACUGAGGUGCGAAAGCGUGGGUAGCAAACAGGAUUAGAUACCCGAGUAGUC